This 101-nucleotide ribosomal RNA is filed under the name Gymnopilus cf. punctifolius Norvell 92-04.20-1. RNAcentral's name for it is "partial 28S ribosomal RNA". The stretch from base 43 to 101 matches the Rfam family "Eukaryotic large subunit ribosomal RNA", at positions 1 to 59 of the family's 3401-position model. The record is from RNAcentral. Lineage: Eukaryota; Fungi; Basidiomycota; Agaricomycetes; Agaricales; Galerinaceae.
AUGUGCUGCUUCUAAUCGUCCUCAGGACAAUUAUUGACCAUUUGACCUCAAAUCAGGUAGGACUACCCGCUGAACUUAAGCAUAUCAAUAAGCGGAGGAAG